Perca flavescens (yellow perch) is the source of this 1111-nucleotide long non-coding RNA. RefSeq lists it as uncharacterized. The record is from RefSeq and is a predicted model, not a curated record. The transcript is spliced from 3 exons. Lineage: Eukaryota; Metazoa; Chordata; Actinopteri; Perciformes; Percidae.
GUACAAUGGUUCAGAUUGCAGGUCAUGCAGCCACAGCUGGAAAUGCUGCCGGUAAACAUAUAAGUGGUUUUACACCGGACCUCCAAUGUGCUGACACCAAGGUUACCACCUGUCCAUCGAUAGGCGGCUUAAUACGUUAUCAACACAAGUUCUGUGGUGACACAGGAAGCGGUGUAACUUCAUGUCCAGGUGACUCUGGUGGAGGAGUGGUGUACAAUGGCAAGAUUUAUGGUGUCAUUCAUGGCGCUGUGAAUGGUGAAUAUGUAUGUGCUGGAGAAAAUAUAUUUAUGGACGUCUGUAAAUACUUGGGAUGGAUCAAACACAUUACUAAACCACCAAAGAAAAUGUGUCUAUGGUGUGGUUAACUGUGAAAUGCUCUGUUAAUUAAAAGACAUUUCACAGAAAAUUGUGACUUACUCAAAUUUGCACUUGAUAAAUUUACAACUGAUUGGAUUACAUUAAAUGUUCAACUAUCAUUUGUACAACCCUUUAAGACAAAGAACUGUAGUUACACAUGUAGUAUCUGAGUUACAAAUGUUAAUUUACACAAUGUUGCCAUUCAACUGUUGUUGAUCAUUUUUGAACAAAGAUAAUAAAUAAUGAGGACGAGAGAAACUACCAGGUCUGUUUAUAACAAGAUUGUUGACAACAUAAAGGCAAGUUUAGGCUGUGGUUAACUAUGAAAUGCUCUGUCAUUUAAAAGACAUUUUACAUGUAUUAAGAAAAUUGUUGAGUUCAUUUAAAAUGUACUAUUGAUAAUUUCACAAUUGAUUGAAUUACAUUAAAUGUUCAACUAUCAAUUGUAAAACCCUUUAAGAUAAACAACAAUUGUGAUUCUUUCACAUGUAGUAUCUGAGUUACAAACGAUAAUCAGCUGUUAUGGUUGAAAAAACACAUAUCUAUCUAGUUUUUUAACAAAUAAAUAAUUUUUCUUUUUUCAAUGUAAGUUUUACCCUCAUGUAAAUUCAACAGAUUAAUCAUGUUAUCAUCUUAUAUAGAAAAACUAGGCACAAGGCCAGAUAUGCCAAAAACAUACUUUUAGCAAUUAUAAUCAAUGUGACUUAUUUGACAAUGUUGUCAGUUAAAAUAAAAUAAAGAUGUCUCACAAUCA